Apodemus sylvaticus (European woodmouse) is the source of this 1514-nucleotide long non-coding RNA. RefSeq lists it as uncharacterized. The transcript has 4 exons. NCBI's taxonomy places the organism in Eukaryota, Metazoa, Chordata, Mammalia, Rodentia, Muridae. The record is from RefSeq and is a predicted model, not a curated record.
UGUUCUUGGACUUAGAAGGACGAUAAUAUUUUGACCUUGACUGAAAAACAACUUUCUCAAGCCUGCCAAAAUCAGGUCAUGUGACUCAGAACAACUCAGAACAAAAGGACAGACAAAAUAUUUAGACUCUGACACUCCCUGGAAAAUAAGCCUUAACAAGAAGCUCAAUGUGGCAGGAAGCCAAGAAGAUUACCCCCUCAGACAAAGGGUAAGAGGCACCUGAAAGACCAACACCAGACUCCAUUGGCAGGUCUCAAGGGCAUGGCAGCCCACAAAUUUGACCAAGAAAGUGGAGUUCAUUGCCCUCACCAAGACCUUGGAACUUAGAACCAGCAAGAAAAUCAACAGCCAUAUGGAUAACAGGCUCAAGGUGCUCGAGUGGGUGAGGCAGCGAGCACAGAAGCAGCUCCGGGAGGCCUACUCAGGAGGAGACUUGGAAGUCCCACACCGUUUCCAAGUUGGAGAUCAGUCUAUGUUAGACGCCACUGAGCAAAAUACCUUGAGACUUGGUGAAAAGGCCCUUAUCUUGUACUCUUGACCAUCCUGCUUUCUGCUUUGAUGAGACCCUUUGUAAUUUUACUCCCUUUGCUUACAAUUGGAACCUUUGUAAUUAACCAGUUAAUAGUUUUUAUUAGAGAAUAUAUAAGUGCUGUACAGAUUCUUAUGCUAUGCCAACAAUAUCAGAGAUUAAGGCAGGACAAUCCAAAAUAUAUAAAGUCAGAGAUUUAAUUCUAUAGUUCUAAGAUUAGAACUCCUAACAAAAAAAGAAGAGGGGAAAUGAAUGGAGUUGGGACUUUUCAGAAUCCAUAGUUGAGGCAGCAAGCAGACUAGAGCCAGGGCAUGCGGGACAAGCUUGAAGCAAGGUUGUAGUUGAGCCAUUCCACAAACAGACCGGCCAUAAAAGAUAAGGGGCACGCCUGGGAAAACUCCUAUGGGUCCUCCACUAUCUGGACUGGAGUCUCCUGUCUCCUGUCCUUGGAUGCAGUUUAAAAUGACCUUCCUGCUAACAAAAUAAACCGCCCUCCUACUUUGCUGACGGUCCGAUCUGCACAUAUGCCAAAAAACCCAGCCUGCAUGCCAGAAUCCCCCGCCAGUGUUUGAAUCAGCAAAUCAUGUGUAACCGUGCCAACACCCCUGACAACCCCCAUGACUUUUCCUAUAUAAACCCCUAACUUUUGAGCCUCAGGGUCGACUCCACUGUCUCCUGUGUGAGAUACGUGUCGGCCCAGAGCUCUGAUAAUAAACUACCUCAUGCGUUUGCAUCAAGUCGGUCUCUCACAUUUCCUUGGGUGUAUGCUAUCCCGAGAAUGGAGUGGGGGUCUCCCCAAAAGGAGGUCCUACAAAACAAAGCAUGGAUCUUUCCCUAUAUAAACAUAGACUGACAAUUAAACUUUGAGCCUUGGUCAGAACUCUUGUCUUGCCUUCAUCCUUCUCUCACUCCCCCACCUUAAUUCCAGUCUCCCAUUUCGUCCAGAUUUUCCAAUUUUGUGGAGCAUAAGCUUCUGUAGUAGGAG